RNAcentral lists this ribosomal RNA (253 nucleotides) under uncultured bacterium. Its description in RNAcentral is "partial 16S ribosomal RNA". It matches the Rfam family "Bacterial small subunit ribosomal RNA", at positions 524 to 776 of the family's 1533-position model. The record is from RNAcentral.
UACGUAGGGUGCGAGCGUUGUCCGGAAUUAUUGGGCGUAAAGAGCUCGUAGGCGGUCUGUCGCGUCGGAUGUGAAAGCCCGAGGCUUAACCCUGGGUCUGCAUUCGAUACGGGCAGACUAGAGUUCGGUAGGGGAGAUCGGAAUUCCUGGUGUAGCGGUGAAAUGCGCAGAUAUCAGGAGGAACACCGGUGGCGAAGGCGGUUCUCUGGGCAUUACCUGACGCUGAGGAGCGAAAGUGUGGGGAGCGAACAGG